GGGCGGAUAGUUCAAACCUAAAACGUAACACUGAAAAUGUUAAGACGGCAUUUUGCCUCCUUCCA
RNAcentral lists this transfer RNA (65 nucleotides) under Lamprotula leaii. RNAcentral describes it as "tRNA-Phe". It matches the Rfam family "tRNA". From Rfam's summary of the family: Transfer RNA (tRNA) molecules are approximately 80 nucleotides in length. Their secondary structure includes four short double-helical elements and three loops (D, anti-codon, and T loops). The record is from RNAcentral. Lineage: Eukaryota; Metazoa; Mollusca; Bivalvia; Unionida; Unionidae.